CGGGGAAUGAUUGCACAAUGGGCGCGAAGCCUAGAUGCAGCCAUGCCGCGUGUAUGAAGAAGGCCUUCGGGUUGUAAAGUACUUUCAGCGAGGAGGAAGGCAUUAAGGUUAAUAACCUUAGUGAUUGACGUUACUCGCAGAAGAAGCACCGGCUAACUCCGUGCCAGCAGCCGCGGUAAUACGGAGGGUGCAAGCGUUAAUCGGAAUUACUGGGCGUAAAGCGCACGCAGGCGGUCUGUCAAGUCGGAUGUGAAAUCCCCGGGCUCAACCUGGGAACUGCAUUCGAAACUGGCAGGCUAGAGUCUUGUAGAGGGG
Molecule: ribosomal RNA, 315 nt
Filed under: uncultured Enterobacteriaceae bacterium
Lineage: Bacteria; Pseudomonadati; Pseudomonadota; Gammaproteobacteria; Enterobacterales; Enterobacteriaceae
Description: bacterial SSU rRNA
Rfam family: Bacterial small subunit ribosomal RNA
Source: RNAcentral